This 252-nucleotide ribosomal RNA is filed under the name uncultured bacterium. RNAcentral describes it as "partial 16S ribosomal RNA". It matches the Rfam family "Bacterial small subunit ribosomal RNA", at positions 524 to 776 of the family's 1533-position model. The record is from RNAcentral.
UACGUAGGGGGCAAGCGUUGUCCGGAAUCAUUGGGCGUAAAGAGCGCGUAGGCGGCCCUGUAAGUCCGCUGUGAAAGUCAAGGGCUCAACCCUUGAAUGCCGGUGGAUACUGCAGGGCUAGAGUCCGGAAGAGGCGAGUGGAAUUCCUGGUGUAGCGGUGAAAUGCGCAGAUAUCAGGAGGAACACCGGUGGCGAAGGCGGGUCUCUGGGCCGAUACUGACGUGAGGAGCGAAAGCGUGGGGAGCGAACAGG